This 303-nucleotide ribosomal RNA is filed under the name uncultured bacterium. RNAcentral's name for it is "partial 16S ribosomal RNA". It matches the Rfam family "Bacterial small subunit ribosomal RNA", at positions 507 to 809 of the family's 1533-position model. The record is from RNAcentral.
AGCAGUCGCCGCGGGAAUACGAAGGGGGCUAGCGUUGUUCGGAAUUACUGGGCGUAAAGCGCACGUAGGCGGACAUUUAAGUCAGGGGUGAAAUCCCGGGGCUCAACCCCGGAACUGCCUUUGAUACUGGGUGUCUAGAGUAUGGAAGAGGUGAGUGGAAUUCCGAGUGUAGAGGUGAAAUUCGUAGAUAUUCGGAGGAACACCAGUGGCGAAGGCGGCUCACUGGUCCAUUACUGACGCUGAGGUGCGAAAGCGUGGGGAGCAAACAGGAUUAGAUACCCCAGUAGUCCCUGUCUCUUAUAA